RNAcentral lists this ribosomal RNA (430 nucleotides) under Pseudomonadota bacterium. RNAcentral's name for it is "Proteobacteria bacterium partial 16S ribosomal RNA". It matches the Rfam family "Bacterial small subunit ribosomal RNA", at positions 355 to 776 of the family's 1533-position model. Lineage: Bacteria; Pseudomonadati; Pseudomonadota. The record is from RNAcentral.
UGGGGAAUAUUGGACAAUGGGGGGAACCCUGAUCCAGCCAUGCCGCGUGUGUGAAGAAGGCCUUAUGGUUGUAAAGCACUUUAAGCGAGGAGGAGGGUACUGGUAUUAAUACUACUGGAUAGUGGACGUUACUCGCAGAAUAAGCACCGGCUAACUCUGUGCCAGCAGCCGCGGUAAUACAGAGGGUGCGAGCGUUAAUCGGAUUUACUGGGCGUAAAGCGUGCGUAGGCGGCUGAUUAAGUCGGAUGUGAAAUCCCUGAGCUUAACUUAGGAAUUGCAUUCGAUACUGGUCAGCUAGAGUAUGGGAGAGGAUGGUAGAAUUCCAGGUGUAGCGGUGAAAUGCGUAGAGAUCUGGAGGAAUACCGAUGGCGAAGGCAGCCAUCUGGCCUAAUACUGACGCUGAGGUACGAAAGCAUGGGGAGCAAACAGG